UACGAAUGGGGCUAGCGUUGUUCGGAAUUACUGGGCGUAAAGCGCACGUAGGCGGCUUUGUAAGUUAGAGGUGAAAGCCCGGAGCUCAACUUCGGAAUGGCCUUUAAGACUGCAUCGCUUGAAUCAUGGAGAGGUCAGUGGAAUUCCGAGUGUAGAGGUGAAAUUCGUAGAUAUUCGGAAGAACACCAGUGGCGAAGGCGACUGACUGGACAUGUAUUGACGCUGAGGUGCGAAAGCGUGGGGAGCAAACAGG
Molecule: ribosomal RNA, 253 nt
Filed under: uncultured bacterium
Lineage: Bacteria
Description: partial 16S ribosomal RNA
Rfam family: Bacterial small subunit ribosomal RNA
Source: RNAcentral